RNAcentral lists this non-coding RNA (23 nucleotides) under Arabidopsis thaliana (thale cress). Lineage: Eukaryota; Viridiplantae; Streptophyta; Magnoliopsida; Brassicales; Brassicaceae. The record is from RNAcentral.
AAACCCUAUUGAAAACCGUUGUA